Non-coding RNA from Hydra vulgaris (swiftwater hydra), 679 nucleotides. The record is from RefSeq and is a predicted model, not a curated record. Lineage: Eukaryota; Metazoa; Cnidaria; Hydrozoa; Anthoathecata; Hydridae.
AUUAACAUAAACAUAAACAACGACAAUGACGCUUCGAGGACAAGAAUUUGAGAAAUAAAGUUUACUUGGUCUUUUGUGAUGUUCCAAUUCCAUUUUUUUGAAAAGUAAUAUAAGCAAGGUUUUAUAAAAAAAGUGACUCAUCAUGUUAUAGGGUGAUGUUUUCUGAAUGACUUUAUGUGAUAGUGUGAACGUUUUCUGACUGGCAGAAGGAUAUUCAGUUUUCUUUUUGCCCAACCUUGUCAGUCUGGUGCUAAAAAGAAGAGAACAAACAACAUUUAUGUGUAAACACUGACAGUGGAAAAAAAGGACUAGUUUAUUAUGAAUACACCACAUUGGUUUGUGCAGGUAAAUGAUUUGCUGCUUUCUGUUACAUUUGGAGUGCAGUCCAUGUGAUACCAUCGACUUGUGAAAAUGUUUAAUACCAAAUUUUUCAUUCGAAUCAAAGCUGUUUUAUUUGGUAACACUUCUUGUGAUAGUAUUCCGGCUGGUGCUAGUACUUCAAUUUUGUUCUUACAUGAAAAAAAGAAUUGUGAAUUUUAGCAUUGUAAAUCAUGUUAUAAUGUUUUAUUUAUAAAAAUAGUUUUUAAAUUUACAUGUUUUAUAAGAAAUAUUGUAUUGUAAACUGGCUUAAAAUUCAGAAUUUUAGUUUUAAAUAAUGUAUGUUACAUUACAUUAAAAU